This is a non-coding RNA of Paramuricea clavata, 694 nucleotides long. Lineage: Eukaryota; Metazoa; Cnidaria; Anthozoa; Malacalcyonacea; Plexauridae. The record is from the annotation of a GenBank genome assembly.
AGUUUAAGUUGAUGAAACUCGAAAACAUCGCAGUUCGUGGACUGAUCGAAAUCAGUAUGUAAAUUAUACAUCAAAAAAUAUAUUCCCUUUAGCUGAUAUGGAUUAUGGAGCAAAUCGCCUGAUUCUAAAUCGUUUAUACACGCACCUUCAGAAAAAAUUAUACGAAAAUCUUUUUUGAAAAAUCGCAAAAAUAAAAAAGAAACUUAAAAAAAGCAACAAAAAAAAAUCACCAAAAAAACAUGUUUUUUUUGUCUCGUACACUUCUUAGGAGUGAUGUCCCCCUAGCUCUGUAUUUUGCGCUUCGCCGUAAUUUACAGGGCAAAGCAUUCCAAGUAAAAUUGUCAUGUAAUUAUUAUAGAGGGUGUGAAGAAGGCGAUUUAAUUCAAUCUCCUUUUCCCAGCGAAAAGUUUUAAUUAAGAGUAACUGCUUUGAAUGUUUGCUGUAACACCUGAUGAUACAGACGUCGAACUGCCUAAAAUUUGACAGUGAAUAAUUAAUAUGGUCACACCAAUAUAUGGUGUCAUUAUGUCGUGUUUAAAACGAUUGAAAACGCAUUAGUGGUGUGGUAAUCUGUAUCUUCCAAGUUACGUGGAAGAAAUUUGCUUGAUAGUAUAACUAAUUUAAACACAUAACCAUUUGAUUCGUAAGGGAUGGAGUGACAGAUUUAAUAAUUUCUCUUCCUAAAUAUGCUGGC